RNAcentral lists this ribosomal RNA (249 nucleotides) under uncultured bacterium. Its description in RNAcentral is "partial 16S ribosomal RNA". It matches the Rfam family "Bacterial small subunit ribosomal RNA", at positions 1066 to 1320 of the family's 1533-position model. The record is from RNAcentral.
CGUGAGAUGUUGGGUUAAGUCCCGCAACGAGCGCAACCCUUGCCAUUAGUUGCUACGAAAGGGCACUCUAAUGGGACUGCCGGUGACAAACCGGAGGAAGGUGGGGAUGACGUCAGGUCAUCAUGGCCCUUAUGGGUAGGGCUACACACGUCAUACAAUGGCCGGUACAGAGGGCUGCCAACCCGCGAGGGGGGAGCCAAUCCCAGAAAACCGGUCGUAGUCCGGAUCGUAGUCUGCAACUCGACUGCG